Molecule: long non-coding RNA, 702 nt
Organism: Lepidothrix coronata (blue-crowned manakin)
Lineage: Eukaryota; Metazoa; Chordata; Aves; Passeriformes; Pipridae
Exons: 5
Source: RefSeq, a predicted model, not a curated record
CGACGUUCUACUCCCCCUCCCCCGUUUGCCCGACUUUCACACGAGUAUUUGUUUUAUUUUAAUCGAGAGCCCCUAGGACUAGUUGUAAUGAUAUGAAUGGUUAAAGUGGGAAGAGCUCAAGGCUCGAGAAUACUCUCUCCUCGGAAGAAAAUACCAGACAUCCCCGAGAAACAGCCGUGCAGAGCUGAAAAGUUUGGAGCUGUGCUGCAGCUCGGUUCUGGUACUGCCCUCAGGACUCCCAAAUUCCCAGGCAACGGCCACACAAGCGAUGAUGACAACAGCAGCAACUACGAGGCUCCUCGCCGCCUGCUCUAUUUGAAAGCAAACCCGCCUAUUUUUCGUCAGGCAACUGCAGACAGAAGUGGCAACUAAAGCUUUAAACCCUUUGGAAAUUCCUUUCUGAUUUAAGAGAGCCAGGGGGCUUUCGUCCUCUCCCUGCCGUUAGUUGCGAGGAAGGGCAACAAAAGAGAGGAGCCAGACUUUGCCAGGUGUCAGGAAGAUGAGUCUUUAUUGAAGAGUAACCAGCGUUGCCACUCUCCAUAGGCCCUUUACCACCUUUGAAGGAGACUUUCUUGGUGCCUGCAAGAAUCUCGGGCUGCACCCAAGGGGUGCUCUGCACAGACUCCCUGGAAUGAACACUGCUCUGCAUCCCUUCAGGAUGUGCAGGUUCCUGCACUGGGCUGAUUGAAGAUAUGCUAUCAG